GACAGAGGUGCCGAGCGUUAGGCGGAAUCACUGGGCUUAAAGCGUGUGUAGGCGGAUGGGUAAGUACCUUGUGAAAUCCCACGGCUCAACCGUGGAAGUGCAUUCGAAACUACAGGGCUAGAGUUCUGGAGAGGAAGGUGGAAUGCUUGGUGUAGAGGUGAAAUUCGUAGAUAUCAAGCGGAACACCGGUGGCGAAGGCGGCCUUCUGGACAGUAACUGACGCUGAGACGCGAAAGCGUGGGGAGCAAACAGG
Molecule: ribosomal RNA, 253 nt
Filed under: uncultured bacterium
Lineage: Bacteria
Description: partial 16S ribosomal RNA
Rfam family: Bacterial small subunit ribosomal RNA
Source: RNAcentral